CCGACACAGGUGGGGUGGUAGAGAAUACCGAGGGGCGCGAGGUAACUCUCUCUAAGGAACUCGGCAAAAUGGCCCCGUAACUUCGGGAGAAGGGGUGCCACCGCAAGGUGGUCGCAGUGAAGAGGCCCAGGCGACUGUUUACCAAAAACACAGGUCUCCGCUAAGUCGCAAGACGAUGUAUGGGGGCUGACGCCUGCCCAGUGCCGGAAGGUUAAGGAAGCUGGUCAGCGCAAGCGAAGCUGGCGACUGAAGCCCCGGUGAACGGCGGCCGUAACUAUAACGGUCCUAAGGUAGCGAAAUUCCUUGUCGGGUAAGUUCCGACCCGCACGAAAGGCGUAACGAUCUGGGCGCUGUCUCGGAGAGAGGCUCGGCGAAAUAGAAUUGUCUGUGAAGAUGCGGACUACGUGCACCCGGACAGAAAGACCCUAUGAAGCUUUACUGUAGCUUGGUAUUGUGCCCGGGCUCUGAAUGCGCAGGAUAGGUGGGAGGCUUUGAUCCAUUGCUUGUGGGUGAUGGUGAGCCAACGGUGAGAUACCACUCUUUCAGAGCUAGGGUUCUAACGGUCACCCGUUAUCCGGGGACCGGACAGUAUCAGGUGGGCAGUUUGACUGGGGCGGUCGCCUCCUGAAAGGUAACGGAGGCGCGCAAAGGUUCCCUCAGGCUGGUUGGAAAUCAGCCGAUGAGUGUAAAGGCAGAAGGGAGCUUGACUGUGAGACCUACAAGUCGAACAGGGACGAAAGUCGGCCUUAGUGAUCCGACGGUUCUGAGUGGAAGGGCCGUCGCUCAACGGAUAAAAGUUACUCUAAGGAUAACAGGCUGAUCUCCCCCAAGAGUUCACAUCGACGGGGAGGUUUGGCACCUCGAUGUCGGCUCAUCGCAACCUGGGGCUGAAGUCGGUCCCAAGGGUUGGGCUGUUCGCCCAUUAAAGCGGUACGCGAGCUGGGUUCAGAACGUCGUGAGACAGUUCGGUCCAUAUCCGGUGCAUGCGCAGGAAUAUUGAGAGGAUUUCUCCCUAGUACGAGAGGACCGGGAGGAACGCACCUCUGGUGUACCAGUUAUCGUGCCAACGGUAAACGCUGGGUAGCCAUGUGCGGAGUGGAUAACCGCUGAAAGCAUCUAAGUGGGAAGCCCACCUCAAGAUGAGUAUUCCCAUGGCGUUAGCCAGUAAGGUCACGGGCAGAACACCCGUUGAUAGGCUCUACGUGGAAGCCGGGUAACCGGUGAAGCGGAGGAGUACUAAUAGACCGAGGGCUUGAC
This 1257-nucleotide ribosomal RNA is filed under the name metagenome. RNAcentral's name for it is "bacterial LSU rRNA". It matches the Rfam family "Bacterial large subunit ribosomal RNA", at positions 1654 to 2925 of the family's 2925-position model. The record is from RNAcentral.